AUGAACGCUGGUGGCGUGCCUCAUACAUGCAAGUCGAGCGAACGGACGAGAAGCUUGCUUCUCUGAUGUUAGCGGCGGACGGGUGAGUAACACGUGGAUAACCUACCUAUAAGACUGGGAUAACUUCGGGAAACCGGAGCUAAUACCGGAUAAUAUUUUGAACCGCAUGGUUCAAAAGUGAAAGACGGUCUUGCUGUCACUUAUAGAUGGAUCCGCGCUGCAUUAGCUAGUUGGUAAGGUAACGGCUUACCAAGGCAACGAUGCAUAGCCGACCUGAGAGGGUGAUCGGCCACACUGGAACUGAGACACGGUCCAGACUCCUACGGGAGGCAGCAGUAGGGAAUCUUCCGCAAUGGGCGAAAGCCUGACGGAGCAACGCCGCGUGAGUGAUGAAGGUCUUCGGAUCGUAAAACUCUGUUAUUAGGGAAGAACAUAUGUGUAAGUAACUGUGCACAUCUUGACGGUACCUAAUCAGAAAGCCACGGCUAACUACGUG
This 496-nucleotide ribosomal RNA is filed under the name uncultured bacterium. RNAcentral describes it as "partial 16S ribosomal RNA". It matches the Rfam family "Bacterial small subunit ribosomal RNA", at positions 29 to 507 of the family's 1533-position model. The record is from RNAcentral.